Molecule: ribosomal RNA, 800 nt
Filed under: uncultured bacterium
Lineage: Bacteria
Description: bacterial SSU rRNA
Rfam family: Bacterial small subunit ribosomal RNA
Source: RNAcentral
GCUACCAUGCAAGUCGAGCGAGAGACUUCGGUCUCUAGCGGCGGACGGGUGAGUAACACGUGGGUAACCUGCCUCAUAGUGGGGGAUAGCCUUCCGAAAGGAAGAUUAAUACCGCAUAUACUCUCGAUACCGCAUGGUAUUUAGAGGAAAGGAGCAAUCCGCUAUGAGAUGGACCCGCGGCGCAUUAGCUAGUUAGUGAGGUAACGGCUCACCAAGGCGACGAUGCGUAGCCGACCUGAGAGGGUGAUCGGCCACAUUGGAACUGAGACACGGUCCAGACUCCUACGGGAGGCAGCAGUGGGGAAUAUUGCACAAUGGGCGAAAGCCUGAUGCAGCAACGCCGCGUGAGUGAUGACGGCCUUCGGGUUGUAAAGCUCUGUCUUUUGGGACGAUAAUGACGGUACCAAAGGAGGAAGCCACGGCUAACUACGUGCCAGCAGCCGCGGUAAUACGUAGGUGGCAAGCGUUGUCCGGAUUUACUGGGCGUAAAGGAUGCGUAGGUGGAUAUUUAAGUGGGAUGUGAAAUACCCGAGCUCAACUUGGGUGCUGCAUUCCAAACUGGAUAUCUAGAGUGCAGGAGAGGUAAGUGGAAUUCCUAGUGUAGCGGUGAAAUGCGUAGAGAUUAGGAAGAACACCAGUGGCGAAGGCGACUUACUGGACUGUAACUGACACUGAGGCAUGAAAGCGUGGGGAGCAAACAGGAUUAGAUACCCUGGUAGUCCACGCCGUAAACGAUGGGUACUAGGUGUAGGAGGGUCCAACCUUCUGUGCCGCCGUUAACACAAUAAGUACCCCGCCUG